Homo sapiens (human) is the source of this 985-nucleotide long non-coding RNA. Ensembl annotates it as UFL1 antisense RNA 1. Its record names the gene UFL1-AS1. The record is from Ensembl. NCBI's taxonomy places the organism in Eukaryota, Metazoa, Chordata, Mammalia, Primates, Hominidae.
GGUUCCUCCCGGCGAGACUGGCGGGGCUGCGGCGGCUAGGAGAGUGGGUCCUCUCUUCCCCACAGACAUGAACGAACCAGCUCUAUGACCACAUCUCCCAUAACCAGCCCCGGCCUGCAAAGGCAGCCACCACAGAGCUUCUUAGUGAUGUAUCAGCGCAUUCCUGAUGGACGUCAAUGGAAGCAUUUGAGAAAAAAACACCUUUCAAAGUGAAACUGUAUUAUGUUACUGGAACAUUUGUUAAAAAUCUAUUAACCUCUAAGAAGCCAAGAACAGAAAUUCAGCAAUAAAAGGUACUCUCAGAAACCACCUCUGGCCUGAAAAGGGGCCGACUGAAACAUAUACCUAUUUGAAGAUCCCUGGCACACAGAUACAGCAGAAGAAGCCCAAAUGUGUUAUCAAACCAUUGAGAGAAACAGAACUUUCCUCAAAGCCAAGAAACAGCUUUCAAAAGGAAGUUUCCCAAAAACUCUUCUAAAAGUACCAGCAUAUCUUCAAACCAAGUAACGUUUUUUUCAAUGCUAUCCUUAACUGUUCUACUUUUAUUUGCUUGUAGAAAAGUGGCACAACCUAGACUGUCAUCGCUAAAGCCAUGACUAAAAUUUUUAGUAUUUUGUAACCACAUCAGAUUUGUGAACAUCUCCCAGUUGAUAUAAUCACUUAUUUACUCGCAUAUUGAGACUGUACCAUAACUUUGUGGUUCAGAUGGAAUUCGUUAGAAAACUAAACUGUUUUUAAAAACGUUAUGUUUUUGUUUUUCUCGUUAUAAAUUUACCUUCACAGUUUGCAAAUGCAUUAGUAUAAUCAUCUGGUAAAAAAAUGGCAACUCUUGAUUUGAUACAUUUUUAAAAAACAAGUACACUCAGGCAAAUUUUAUAAAUUCAAAACUCACAGUGUUUUGUUUUUAUUUAUAUAUUUUUCUUACAGUUUUCUUUGUUUACUUUUAAUAAUUUGUUAGUACAUCCAAUAUCUACCAAGAUGUAAU